GACGAACGCUGGCGGUGUGCUUAACACAUGCAAGUCGAACGGAAAGGCCCAGCUUGCUGGGUACUCGAGUGGCGAACGGGUGAGUAACACGUGGGUUAUCUGCCCUCAACUUUGGGAUAAGCCUGGGCAACUGGGUCUAAUACCGGAUAUGAUCAACUGUCGCAUGGUGGAUGGUGGAAAGCUUUUGCGGUUGCGGAUGGGCCCGAGGCGUAUCAGCUUGUUGGUGGGGUAAUGGCCUACCAAGGCGACGACGGGUAGCCGACCCGAGAGGGUGAUCGGCCACACUGGGACUGAGACACGGCCCAGACUCCUACGGGAGGCAGCAGUGGGGAAUAUUGCACAAUGGGCGCGAGCCUGAUGCAGCGACGCCGCGUGAGGGAUGACGGCCUUCUGGUUGUAAACCUCUUUCACCAGGGACGAAGCGUGAGUGACGGUACCUGGAGAAGAAGCACCGGCCAACUACGUG
Molecule: ribosomal RNA, 466 nt
Filed under: uncultured bacterium
Lineage: Bacteria
Description: partial 16S ribosomal RNA
Rfam family: Bacterial small subunit ribosomal RNA
Source: RNAcentral